This 72-nucleotide transfer RNA is filed under the name Camelus ferus (Wild Bactrian camel). It matches the Rfam family "tRNA". From Rfam's summary of the family: Transfer RNA (tRNA) molecules are approximately 80 nucleotides in length. Their secondary structure includes four short double-helical elements and three loops (D, anti-codon, and T loops). The record is from Rfam by way of RNAcentral. Lineage: Eukaryota; Metazoa; Chordata; Mammalia; Artiodactyla; Camelidae.
GAGGGUAUAGCUCAGUGGAAGAGUGCAUGCCUAGCAUGCACGAGGUCCUGGGCUCAAUCCCCAGUACCUCCA